CCUGAUGGCGAGUGGCGAACGGGUGAGUAAUACAUCGGAACGUGCCCAGUCGUGGGGGAUAACUGCUCGAAAGAGCAGCUAAUACCGCAUACGAUCUCAGGAUGAAAGCGGGGGACCUUCGGGCCUCGCGCGAUUGGAGCGGCCGAUGGCAGAUUAGGUAGUUGGUGGGGUAAAUGCUUACCAAGCCUACGAUCUGUAGCUGGUCUGAGAGGAUGACCAGCCACACUGGGACUGAGACACGGCCCAG
RNAcentral lists this ribosomal RNA (247 nucleotides) under uncultured bacterium. Its description in RNAcentral is "partial 16S ribosomal RNA". It matches the Rfam family "Bacterial small subunit ribosomal RNA", at positions 84 to 334 of the family's 1533-position model. The record is from RNAcentral.